This 858-nucleotide ribosomal RNA is filed under the name uncultured bacterium. RNAcentral describes it as "bacterial SSU rRNA". It matches the Rfam family "Bacterial small subunit ribosomal RNA", at positions 59 to 913 of the family's 1533-position model. The record is from RNAcentral.
CAGUCGGACGGCAGCACGGGGGCAACCCUGGUGGCGAGUGGCGAACGGGUGAGUAAGACAUCGGAACGUGUCCUGGAGUGGGGGAUAGCCCGGCGAAAGCCGGAUUAAUACCGCAUACGAUCUGUGGAUGAAAGCGGGGGACCGAAAGGCCUCGCGCUCAAGGGGCGGCCGAUGGCAGAUUAGCUAGUUGGUGGGGUAAAGGCCUACCAAGGCGACGAUCUGUAGCUGGUCUGAGAGGACGACCAGCCACACUGGGACUGAGACACGGCCCAGACUCCUACGGGAGGCAGCAGUGGGGAAUUUUGGACAAUGGGGGCAACCCUGAUCCAGCAAUGCCGCGUGUGUGAAGAAGGCCUUCGGGUUGUAAAGCACUUUUGUCCGGAAAGAAAACUUCGGGGCUAAUACCUCUGGAGGAUGACGGUACCGGAAGAAUAAGCACCGGCUAACUACGUGCCAGCGGCCGCGGUAAUACGUAGGGUGCGAGCGUUAAUCGGAAUUACUGGGCGUAAAGCGUGCGCAGGCGGUUCGCUAAGACCGAUGUGAAAUCCCCGGGCUUAACCUGGGAACUGCAUUGGUGACUGGCGGGCUAGAGUAUGGCAGAGGGGGGUAGAAUUCCACGUGUAGCAGUGAAAUGCGUAGAGAUGUGGAGGAAUACCGAUGGCGAAGGCAGCCCCCUGGGCCAAUACUGACGCUCAUGCACGAAAGCGUCGGGAGCAAACAGGAUUAGAUACCCUGGUAGUCCACGCCCUAAACGAUGUCAACUAGUUGUCGGGCCUUCAUUGGCUUGGUAACGUAGCUAACGCGUGAAGUUGACCGCCUGGGGAGUACGGUCGCAAGAUUAAAACUCAAAGGAAUUGA